GGGCCCUGGGGGAGGGAGAUGGAGGCAGCAGUGGGACACCUACUCACCGCCAGAACUUUCUGACAGAGGCAGAAGCAGCCAGGCAGCUCCUGAACGGCCAGAAGAGGCUGCUGGCUCUCAGCCCGUGGAAGAUUUUGGCUGCACUGGGAUCGCUGGAGCAGAGUUACCGCCUGGGGAGCCGGCUGGAGUCGCUGGCCAGGACCGUGGCGCCUGCACAGGGAAAGAGUCCGGGGGAGGCGGCUCAGCGGGAGGAGGCGUGGGAGAGAAACCGGCCGCGUGGGCUGCCCGCGGGGCCAGGACCAGGACGUCCUGAGGGGAGGGUCCCUGACAGACCCCACCCCACCCCCCAAAUGUGGCUGUUCACCUCGGAGACCUGCUGCGGACAUGGGUACAGCCUGGAGCAGGACCUGCACCCUCUGCCGGAAUGUGGAGCCUCAAGUUGGGCAGCAAGAAGCAAUGGCCUGAGGACAACAACUGCCUGCAUAGAUUAACCACCACCAAGGAUUAACUGCCCUCUGUCCUGGGACUCGACCCGCCACCCUCCCCUGACUGUUCCCCCUCUUCAUUGUUCCUGCCACAAGUUCCUGCCACGGAUCCUUUAUAAGCCUAGCAUCUCCGAGCAGUCGGGGCUGGCGCCACCUUGACCUCAGCCCACCCGCUUCGGGUGCCUUAAUAAAUCUCUCCUCUUGCCUGACUUGGCCUUGUGCGUUNUCUUCAUUGUUCCUGCCACAAGUUCCCGCCACGGAUCCUUUAUAAGCCUAGCAUCUCCGAGCAGUCGGGGCUGGCGCCACCUUGACCUCAGCCCACCCGCUUCGGGUGCCUUAAUAAAUCUCUCCUCUUGCCUG
This 845-nucleotide long non-coding RNA is filed under the name Sus scrofa (pig). RNAcentral describes it as "lncRNA (ENSSSCG00060040838.1)". Lineage: Eukaryota; Metazoa; Chordata; Mammalia; Artiodactyla; Suidae. The record is from RNAcentral.